CUUUCCUACUCUUCAUUUUCCUCAAUGUAGGCAACAGAAAUUUCUUCAAAUUUAAGGCUUUAGACAUGGUGAAAUCAUCCAUAUUCAUGACAGCAUCAAAGCUUCGAAAGAACAGAAACCUUGAUCAGAAAGAUGAUGAAAGUUUGAUUGAUCCAAUGGUGAAAAGUGGCCUUCAACUGGCUUCGGUUGCAUGUUCAUCUUAAUUUGGUGCUAUCCUAGCUGAGCUUUUUUAUUACUCUGGCCCUUCAUUUUUUUUUUAUAAUUUUUUUGACUUGUUGCCUUUUUGUUUUCCUUGGAUGUUUCGUGUUCUUGACCUUGUAAGACCUUUUCUUGACCUUGUAAGACCCCUUCUACUGUUUUCUACCAUUGUUUUUCGUUUUGUUUCAAAUCUUAUACUAGAGUUUCCCCGUGUAAGAUUCCACCAUUUUCCUUCUGCACUCUCACCCAACUCAUGUUCUCCUUCCUUGUCUAUCCCUCCUGAGCUAUUACAUAAUACGAAGUGUCUCGUCCCAGAAAUCGACCUAGAGAAGAUCAAGAAAUUCUCUGAAGAUCAUGUAAUUAGCGCUGGUGAUCUGAAACUCAAUUUGUCCAUUGAUGUAAAAAUAUGACUAAAGAGAAUUUACUCAAGUUAGGUAUUGAUUAUAUAUAAACUUAUAAUUUGAUAUUA
Long non-coding RNA from Olea europaea var. sylvestris, 667 nucleotides. RefSeq lists it as uncharacterized. The transcript is spliced from 2 exons. The record is from RefSeq and is a predicted model, not a curated record. NCBI's taxonomy places the organism in Eukaryota, Viridiplantae, Streptophyta, Magnoliopsida, Lamiales, Oleaceae.